RNAcentral lists this ribosomal RNA (396 nucleotides) under uncultured bacterium. RNAcentral's name for it is "partial 16S ribosomal RNA". It matches the Rfam family "Bacterial small subunit ribosomal RNA", at positions 523 to 918 of the family's 1533-position model. The record is from RNAcentral.
AUACGUAGGGGGCAAGCGUUAUCCGGAUUUACUGGGUGUAAAGGGAGCGUAGACGGCAAAGCAAGUCUGAAGUGAAAGCCCCGGGCUCAACCCGGGAAUUGCUUUGGAAACUGUUUAGCUGGAGUGCAGGAGAGGUAAGCGGAAUUCCUAGUGUAGCGGUGAAAUGUGUAGAUAUUAGGAGGAACACCGGCGGCGAAGGCGGCUUACUGGACUGUAACUGACGUUGAGGCUCGAAAGCGUGGGGAGCAAACAGGAUUAGAUACCCUGGUAGUCCACGCCGUAAACGAUGAUUACUAGGUGUUGGUUGUCAUAGACAAUCGGUGCCGCAGCAAACGCAAUAAGUAAUCCACCUGGGGAGUACGUUCGCAAGAAUGAAACUCAAAGGAAUUGACGGGG